Molecule: non-coding RNA, 99 nt
Organism: Tirmania nivea
Lineage: Eukaryota; Fungi; Ascomycota; Pezizomycetes; Pezizales; Pezizaceae
Source: the annotation of a GenBank genome assembly
GACGUUGUGCCCGAGUGGUUAAGGGGUUUGACUCGAAUCUUUUCAAAGAUGGGUAUCAAAUACGUUCUGCGUGCGCAAGUUCGAAUCUUGUCAACGUCG